GGGGUCGACUGGUAUUGACAGCAAGAAGAUUACCAGUGUAAGCAAGUCGAGCGCUGAAUAACAGCUCGUAAAACUCAUCAUUCACAUUUUUAAAUGGCGAGAAUAACUACGCUCUAGCUGCAUAAUAAACUGAAUUAUAGUAAGUUUUUGCUAAAUCUCAGCUAGGCUGAGAAGCUGGAUGUCUCUGAAUAGCCCUUGUUGACGGCGAUUCGUAUUGAGGCACCAUAAAAGUCAACAUCGAAACGUUUGAGUGUUACAAACGUUUUUCAACUUGAAACACUAAGAAUGUUGUGGGCGGUUUUCGGUCAGCAUCAUUACGAAAAUGAAACGAAAACUAAACUUGUAGAAAGCAUUAGUAGCGCUUGUUUGGACGCGGGUUCGAAUCCCGCCGACUCCAC
This 398-nucleotide transfer-messenger RNA is filed under the name Flavobacteriales bacterium MED-G22. RNAcentral describes it as "transfer-messenger RNA, SsrA". It matches the Rfam family "transfer-messenger RNA". From Rfam's summary of the family: Bacterial tmRNA, also known as 10Sa RNA or SsrA, is named for its dual tRNA and mRNA-like properties. Its role is to liberate the mRNA from a stalled ribosome. Lineage: Bacteria; Pseudomonadati; Bacteroidota; Flavobacteriia; Flavobacteriales. The record is from RNAcentral.